AAAUUCUGGGAAGAGGAAGUCAGAGAAGCAGUUGCCAACCAAACAGAAAAGGAAGGAAUAGGAGAAUACUUUACUCAGAAAAGAAUCCACAAUUCAGUUCAUCCAGAGGAUUCCUAAACCUGCCUCUAAACACUUGUAUGAAGACACUGACUCUUCCUAAAGUUUGAGGAUUUAUUUACACAUUAGCCACACCUAAACUGGAGAGUGGUGACAUACCUUUGUAAUUCUAGCACUCAGGAGGGUCAAACAGGAUAAAAACAAUUACUGUAAAUGUAAGACCAGUCUAAGGGACACAGAUACUGAGUUCAAGGAUGUCCUAGACUACUUCACUCACAGUCUGGAAGACUUUGUUCACAGCCCUGCACUGUUCAAAAUCUGCACACUUGGAGAAGACAGUGCAGUGGAAGUUCUAGGGUAAUAUUAUGGUAGACUAAUAAACUUUACUGGAGAUGACUUUCAGUUUUACUCUUCUUUAGAAAAUUGUAUAAAGAGUUUUAAACUAUUCAUUCCGCAAACAUUAGAGCCUUCAUCCAGUGACUGAUGGAAGCAGAGGCAGACACCCACAGCUAAACACUGAACUGAACUCCUGGAACCCAGUUGCAAAAAGGGAGGAGUGAUAAGCAAAGGGGUCAAGACUGGAGUGGAGUGGUGAAACUCACAGAAACAGCUGACUUGAACAAGGGGGAGCUCAUGGACUCCAGACUGAUAGCUGAGAGACCAGCAUGGAACUGAUCCAGAUCCUCUGAAUGUGGGUGUCAGUGAGGAGGCCUCAGAAAUCUAAGGGUCCUCAGGUAGUAGAUAGGUAUUUAUCCCUGGCACAUGAAUGGACUUUGGGAACCCAUUCCACAUAGAUGGAUGCUCUCAGUCUGGACACAUGGGGAGGGCCUAGGCCCUGCCUGGGAUGAUAUGACAGACUUUGGAGAUCCCCCAGAGAAGGUGAGGCAGA
Molecule: long non-coding RNA, 946 nt
Filed under: Cricetulus griseus (Chinese hamster)
Lineage: Eukaryota; Metazoa; Chordata; Mammalia; Rodentia; Cricetidae
Description: lncRNA (ENSCGRG00015029549.1)
Source: RNAcentral